Molecule: long non-coding RNA, 3650 nt
Filed under: Capra hircus (goat)
Lineage: Eukaryota; Metazoa; Chordata; Mammalia; Artiodactyla; Bovidae
Description: lncRNA (ENSCHIG00000004861.1)
Source: RNAcentral
GAAGUUGUGCAGAGUUGCGUAGCAGGUGUUUCCACUUCGCGCAGGGGCUUAGUGGGCAAAGCCGGGUCCUGCCCGGACCCUGGACCCAUGGAAGGUGCACACCUUCCAGGGACAGCCCUGUUUGCCCUCGACUCUUCUUGCUUCGCGCUCGUCCCCAGCCAGCCCAGCGCGCCCGGAGGCCGCAGCUCGCCCGGCUCGGCCCGCCGUCCUCCCUGGAGGCUCCACCUGCCGCUCCCUAGGCCGGGCCCAUCUGGAGUUCCCUGCGGAACCAGAGACGGUCCUCCUUCGCCUUGUCAAUCACCCCUGAAUCUGGAACGCUGAAGGAAUAGAAAAUAGGCGGAAAAGAAGAUGGAAGAAUCUAGAGGAAAGGGGACUUUUAUAUGGGGAAAGAGCAAACAGCCGACCAAAAAAAAAAAAAAAAAAAAAACCCACAUGAUUUGACUUCAUCCUUUUCAAAGGAAAAGAAAGAAAAAUAGAGACGUUUCCGGGAGUGGGACGAUACGUGUUGAUUGAUGUGGGGGUUAUACAAGGAGGCUAAAAUGAGGAAAUGGGGGCAGAUAGUUUGCAAUGUGACAAUCAACACCCCCCCACCUCUGAAUCAAGAGGGACCUUGUUUUCUUUCCCAGAGAAUAGACAAGUGCAGGAGCUGGUGCCAGCCACGGGGUUUCAGCCUGUAGGCUAGUUCGGGGAAAACAUCCCCUAACUCGCUUCAAGGAGAACACCAAGUUCACGAGCUCCAAGCCAAGGAGUGACCCGGGGACACUCCUUCCCCUGACCAGGGGGUGGCAGGGCGGGAGAGCCCUGUGACCUGGCGACCAUCUCUGAGGCUGAACCCGGUCCCGGGCUCCCUGCUCUCUCCACGCACCUCGCCAGCUCCUUCCAACUUGCAGGGAACAAAGUCCGGGGAGAGGCAGGUGGGGGCGGCCUGGCCAAGGAGCUCCCCAUCACUCCCCGAGGUCGUGGGUGGGGGGCUGCGCGGCCCAGCGGCAUGCAGGUCCGCCCGUGGCACCCAAACCCCGAGAGAGCCAGAACUUGCCGGGCUGCCUGGGCCCGGCCCACUUUCCCAGGCGCUCUGGGGUCCGGGGAGAAAGUCCCGGAACCACCCGGGCCACCAGUACCCGCUGCUCCGGCAUCUCGGAGGAGGCAUCGCCGCCAGGCACCACGCAGCUUCACCAACUCGGGGUGGCUCCUUUCUCCCCAACAGCCCCCGGCGGGUGCCGAGAAAAAGAGGCAUUUCGUUUCAGCCCGAGUGAGGGGGAAGGAGGGCGGAGGUGGGGCGCGGGAGAUGAGGGUGGGCAGAGGGCGAUGCAAGCUGCCUGCCGGCAUCGCGAUCGCGGGGCGUCGCGGUGGAGAGCCACCGGCGGAGGCCGGCCCCUCGGCACGCUACCCGCCUCCGAACCGACCCCGGGCUCGCAAGCCGGGCCUCGGAGGGUUCGCACAUCGCCCGGGCACCCGGCGAGCCCGCCUUACCUUGGGCUGCAGUGAGGAACCCCGCGCACAGCGCCAGCAGCGCCAGAAGCAGCGACUCGAAUUUCCCCCACGCAGUCAUGUCUGCAGAUAUUCCACACGCGCACGACAGCGAUGGCCCUUCUCGGACGCGCCCGGCUCCUCCGAGGCACAGCAGGGCUACGGACGGAGCCAGAGAACCACCCGAGGGCGAGGCGAGCUGGGGCGAGAUCCCGGUCUCCGGACCGGCCGCGCAUCCGACGCUUCCCGCAGAGAAAGCCACAGUCCCUUGGUCUCUUAUCUCAUCUGAGGUUCCCUGCCUGGGUUCUGAAAGCCCCUCCAGAGCACUCUCGCAUCCAUCAGGCAUACUGCUCUCCAUGGCCUCGGGACUCAGGCUGAGCAGCAUCAGAAACAUCAGUGGCACCAGGGAUGAGAGCUGAGCAGAGGAAUCAAUAAAGGCAAAGAGGGUCUGACGUACUGGGAUUGAUAAAGACACCCCUAACCUUGUGUAAUGACUCAGGUGAAGAGUGGACAACACAGACAUCUGGAAAGUGCUGUAACUGAAGAGGGAGAAUGUUUUUCUUUUGUUUCUUCUUCAGGUGAACCAUGCCUGAGAAGGGGACAGAAUAUAUGAAUAGGGUACUUGAGACAAAAUUAUAAAUGAAAAGCUUUGCUCACGUGAGAAUGCUAAUUAGCCAGAAAUACAUGUGUUGCGUGGAUGGAUGUCUCUGAGAGUGCGGUGCGUUGCUGUGAUUGCUAAAUGGGACAUCUUUUGACUCUGUUAAUGGCAUGUACCAAAACCUGAUGAUGACCAGGGUACUGGGAGAACCUCUCUCCUUCACAGAGGGGUGGGGAUGGCAUCACAUGAUUCUGGUUUCCCUAAAGGCAAUGCCCAUCUUAGGAGAGCAAGAAGGAUGGGAGGGAGACGGGUGAAGGGAAAGAAAGGAGUAAAAUGAUCACUUCCUGUUUGCACAACUCUUUAUGCUGAAUCUUGUUUCUAUCAUAAGAUUAUCACUGCCCGCCUCCCCACCCAAUGAUGAGCAAGCAAAGCUUUAAGAAAUGAAGUCAUUUGUAGGAGGUCAUAUCUCACUCAGGACCGGAUGAUAUUAUCAAGGCUGUUGCUGUUUUGCUUUGCCAUAUCAACAUUUAAAACCCUCCUCGCUGCCCCUCCCUCACGAAGGAGCUUACACUUCCCUUCCUGGUCUCCACGCUCCCGGUACCUCUGCGCUGGUUUAUGAAGAAACUGAGCCAGGCAUGUAGAAAGCACUCCUCCCAGAAACACCAGAACACAGUCUUGCUGGGAGCCUCCUCCAGGACAGACCAUUUGCACUGAAAGAAGAUUCUGUGACCCUGUGUGACUGUUUAUUCGUGUAAGUUUUAAUUUUUUAAACUAUUCUCAUUGGCUGGCUUAAAAUAAGCUGAGCACGUUCCCCUGUUUUUCUAAUAAAAUAAUACCUUUAACUAUGUGUAUAUGUGUGUGUGUGUGUACACUAAUAUACAUAUACACACAUAUACAUACACACAUGGGGAAUACUUCCCCUUUUGUUAAUGACUUAGAAGAGUGGCAUUAGGAUGUAGGAAAUUAAAAAGUGUCAAGUAAGUCUAAGUCUAGAGAUGAACCAUGCUGUAAAUGAUCCAUUGGGAAAGGAGAGAAUUAGACCCUGUCUCCUUUCACUAGCGGGAAGCUGAAUAAAAGGAUGCAGACUGAGGGGUUCGUCGUGCGUGGGAAUGCAGUGGAAGACCUGUUGGGGUGAAGACCCCCAGCCCCAGAGUUUCUGAUUCAGCCUAUCCAGGAUGGGGCCCAAGAAUUGCCUUUCCACCAGGUCUCCAGAUGAUGCAUGCAUGCCGGGACUGUUCUCUGAGAACAGCACAGCAAACAGGGUGGACUUUGAGUUAAAAUAGUGGCUUUGUAUCCUGUAUCUGACUUUCUGAGCAGGGGAUCUCUUUUUUAAAAAAAAGAAAGAAAAAAAAACCACUUAAUUUGCAUAUGUUUGCUUCUCAGAAAAUAUGUAAAAUGCUAUUUACCCAAUAGACUUGGAGAAAGCAACAAUAUAAGCACAGUGGCUGAUGUAUACAAAAUGCUUAAAAAUAUCAUUUCCUCUUCUCUCCCUUCAGUCCCUGAAGGAGGAGAGAAGGCACCCAGAUGGAGAAAGGCUCUCCAUCUGUUCGGAUCCGUAUUUUAGGAGUGGCAAGCUGGAUUUGGG